GCUCGGAUGGUGGAAUUGGUAUACACACUAGGUUGAGGGCCUAGGCACUUAUUGUGCGUGCGGGUUCAAGUCCCGCUCCGAGCACCA
RNAcentral lists this transfer RNA (87 nucleotides) under Patescibacteria group bacterium. Its description in RNAcentral is "tRNA-Leu". It matches the Rfam family "tRNA". Rfam says of the family: Transfer RNA (tRNA) molecules are approximately 80 nucleotides in length. Their secondary structure includes four short double-helical elements and three loops (D, anti-codon, and T loops). The record is from RNAcentral.